Small nuclear RNA from Suncus etruscus (white-toothed pygmy shrew), 105 nucleotides. Lineage: Eukaryota; Metazoa; Chordata; Mammalia; Eulipotyphla; Soricidae. The record is from RefSeq and is a predicted model, not a curated record.
GUGCUCACUUCGGCAGCACAUAUACUAAAAUUGGGACAACAUAGAGAAGGGUAGCAUGGCCCCUGCGCAGACGACAAACAAAUUUGUUAAGUGUUCCAUAUUUUU